This 164-nucleotide non-coding RNA is filed under the name uncultured Prevotella sp. Lineage: Bacteria; Pseudomonadati; Bacteroidota; Bacteroidia; Bacteroidales; Prevotellaceae. The record is from RNAcentral.
CUGGUGGCCGAUGCCGCCAUGAUGAAGAGGGAAUACGGUGUGAAUCCGUAACUGUACCUGCAGCUGUAAUCCUCGCAAAAAGGGUCUGCCUGUAUAACACCACUGAGCCUCGGCUCGGGAAGGUAAGGCAGACAGAGGAGAGUCAGAAGACCUGCCUAUACUAU